GGCCCUUUGGCGCAAUGGUAGCGCGUGGCCCUCCUAAGGCCAAGGUUGUGGGUUCGAGUCCCAUGAGGGUCG
This is a non-coding RNA of Lophiostoma macrostomum CBS 122681, 72 nucleotides long. Lineage: Eukaryota; Fungi; Ascomycota; Dothideomycetes; Pleosporales; Lophiostomataceae. The record is from the annotation of a GenBank genome assembly.